RNA transcript from Prunus persica (peach), 1183 nucleotides. It is a transcript of the gene named probable E3 ubiquitin-protein ligase RHC1A, with no coding region annotated. The record is from RefSeq and is a predicted model, not a curated record. NCBI's taxonomy places the organism in Eukaryota, Viridiplantae, Streptophyta, Magnoliopsida, Rosales, Rosaceae. The transcript is spliced from 3 exons.
UAUUCAAAUUGUAACCAAUGUCACUGCAGGCUCAUCGUCCUCGUGUUAUCGUCAACGGAAUAAGACGAAUGAGAACCUUCCGUUACUUUUGGUGCCAACAUUGCCAACGUACUAUAAGGAUUGCGUCUUCCAACCCAUAUGCAAUUCUAUGCCCAUUUUGCUCAACUGAGUUCAAUCAUGAGCUUGAUAUUCUAAGCCCUAGGCUUGUCAAUGACCACCUUACAUUGUCCCCAGCUGCCCAGUUAUUGCAAACCUUGUCGCUCAUCCUCGAUCCAAUGCACCGAAGAGCUCGAGAGCAAACAGAAAACGAAGAUCAUGGACGGUCUUGGAUCACCCUCCAAUUUGAUAGACCACCUCGCUCAUCGCCAAGACAAAUUGUUCCCCCUCUGGUUCCUCUAGCAAAUAAUAGCGAAGAUGUGGUAAAUGAUGUCACUGGGGGCACCUGGACGGUUGAAAAUGACUGCCCAGGUCCCCCUCCAGCACCUGCUUCAGCCAUUCAGGCUUUGCCCUUGGUGAAAGUCACGGAAGGGCAGAUGAGGAACGAACCCACUUGCCCCGUGUGCAAGGAAGUGUUCGCGGUUGGUGGGGAAGUGAGGGAGAUGCCAUGCAAGCAUCUCUACCAUUCUGAUUGCAUACUCCCAUGGCUUCACAUACACAAUACUUGUCCAGUUUGCCGCUAUGAGCUGCCAGAAGAAGGCACUUCUUGUGACAACAAUAACAAUGAGUUUGAGGAAUAUAGUGAUGAAAAUAAUCUCGUAGAAAGCAUAAAAUGGUGGUGGAAGCAAUUCCUAUGCUUGUGGCCAUUUCGCGCAUUGGAUAAUUGGAGGCAACGUUACCUUGAUAACCAACAAGACAGAACCUGGUGGACCUCUUGGAUCUUUCUAUAGCCAGCUUAGAGGUAAAAACAUAUUUGCAUAAAUUUGUGAAUAUUACUUGCUUUUCAAGCACUCAAUGUAAAGAAGAUAUUAAAGUUCAACAGUUUCUUUUUAGGACAAAUUCUGCACUUUGGGGCACUUCCUAAUUUAAUUUUAUGGGAUUUCUUUAUCAAAGAAUUGCAAUGGUUCGAUACAAAUAAAAAUAAAUAAAAAUUUGAGGAAUUGUGUUGCUUCCGACCUCAAACAGAAUUGUACAUGAAUAAAAGAAUGGCAUCUCUUGCCUCAUUUAUAAAUUGUUUCUAUGUCUA